UCACAUUCGAUGCAGGAGUCUGACGUGU
RNAcentral lists this non-coding RNA (28 nucleotides) under Mus musculus (house mouse). Lineage: Eukaryota; Metazoa; Chordata; Mammalia; Rodentia; Muridae. The record is from RNAcentral.